RNAcentral lists this long non-coding RNA (1262 nucleotides) under Equus asinus (donkey). RNAcentral describes it as "lncRNA (ENSEASG00005032753.1)". Lineage: Eukaryota; Metazoa; Chordata; Mammalia; Perissodactyla; Equidae. The record is from RNAcentral.
AUACUGCUCUUUAAAAACAAAAAACGGGUGAUGGUUGCACAACAAUGUGAAUGUACUUAAUGCCAUUGAACCGUGGUUUAAAUGAUUCAUUUUACUUUAAGUACCUGUUACCACACACACGCAUGCGCACACACAAAAACCUCACAGCAAUAGUGUUGCAGUGCCUUUAUAUUCCAGUGCGAUUAUUUUAACCUUGGGCAUAUAUGAUGCACACGUGGAUUUCUAUAGGAUAAAUGCCAACUUCUUCCCCCGUGCAGUUGUUUCCUCCCAUUCCACGGGUAUCCAUCGUAAAAGUACUUCCUACUAAAUCUACUGCUAAAGUUAUAUAUAUUCCUCUUAAAACUUUGUUUCCUUACUAUUCCAGGGCUGGUCCGGGAAAUUGUGAAGGAAUUCUUUGAUGCCUUCCUCCAAGGUUUAGGAAUGACAAAUGAAGCCUUAGGACAAUGCUGGCCCGACAGAAGUUUGCUAAACCUGGUCUUCCCUCUCCCGUCUGCUCUCUCUGACUCAGCUCCAGGAAGACUAACCCUGAGCUAACAUCCGCCAAUCCUCCUCUUUUUACUGAGGAAGACUGGCCCUGAGCUAACAUCCGUGCCCAUCUUCCUCUACUUUAUAUGUGGGAUGCCUGCCACAGCAUGGCUUGCCAAGUAGUACCGUGUCCACACUCGGGAUCCGAACUGGCGAACCCCAGGCCACCAAAGCGGAACAUGUGCACUUACCCGCUGCGCCACUGGGCCGGCCCCGAGCUCAUCUCUUAAACUGCUGUGGGGAGCAUCUUGGGUGAUGGCCUGAACUUGUGUGUGGAAACCCUGCCCGGGUCUUGGAAACAUCCCAGGUAGACGGGUGGAUAACAGAGGCAAAGCUGGUGGCGUCAGCUCUCAGAGCUACCUUUCCGGCACAGCGUGAUGUGAUCUGACCGACCGGGCCAGUCUCUGCCCAAAAUCUUCUAGAGGCACCCCAUCGCCUGCAGGACAUAGUCCAACUCCUCCCUGAGCCCCCUGCCCCCCAAGCUGGCUGCAGCCUGACCCUUCCUGCCUGAGACGUUACGUUCCAACAAUGAGUGCAGAACGGCUUGCAGCUUCCCUCCUACAUCAUCCCGUCCCUGAGCUUCAUGCCUGUGCUUCCGCAAUCUGUGGCAAGGGUACACCCGCGAGCCCAGCUCAUCAAAAACUCAGCUCAUGUUGCACCUCCCCUGCUACCCUCACUCCCAACCAGGCCAGCUCAAAGGCUGCUCCUCUGAGAUUUGAUGGCACCUUGCAGGUGCC